This 253-nucleotide ribosomal RNA is filed under the name uncultured bacterium. RNAcentral's name for it is "partial 16S ribosomal RNA". It matches the Rfam family "Bacterial small subunit ribosomal RNA", at positions 524 to 776 of the family's 1533-position model. The record is from RNAcentral.
UACGUAGGGGGCUAGCGUUGUCCGGAAUCAUUGGGCGUAAAGCGCGUGUAGGCGGUCCGCUAAGUCCGCUGUGAAAGUCGGGGGCUCAACCCUCGGAUGCCGGUGGAUACUGUCGGGCUUGAGUACGGAAGAGGCGAGUGGAAUUCCUGGUGUAGCGGUGAAAUGCGCAGAUAUCAGGAGGAACACCAAUUGCGAAGGCAGCUCGCUGGGACGUUACUGACGCUGAGACGCGAAAGCGUGGGGAGCAAACAGG